CCCGCCUCCCCCCUUCGCUCCUGCCCCUUCCUCGCCUCUCCUCUCUAUCUUCUGCGGCGGCGGCGCCGACUCCGCGUGAUUCCUCCUCCCCUGCUCGACUCCUCCUCCUCCCCCCUGAUUAGGGUUUCAGACGGCGGCGGCGCCCUCCACCGUCUGGUCCUUCCCCGCGCCCUCUUCAUCCUUCAGUGCCGCCUCCAGGUCACCGUCGCCGUCGCCCCUACGAACUCCGAGCACGCACGCGUGAGGCCUCCACCACCACCCACCGCAAUACCCCCGGUCCCUCCCUCUCUCCUGUCGUCUCUAACUCCCACCACCCAUUGGUUUUUUCGCCUCCCAACCCGCAGAACGACUGCGGCUCCUCUCUCGAUAGAACUACACCCUCGAUCUAUCUCCUAGGGCGUGUACGCCGCAGCCAUCGCGGAACUCUACGCCGCCAACGUCUUGCUACUCCGCCGACCGCCGCCGCGAACUCCGAGACCGCCGCCGCCGCCAUUGUGGAACCCCAGGCCACGGCAUUCUCAGAUUCCCAUGUGCGGCCGGUGGAGCAUGUGAGGCGAGCGCUUUAAUCAAAUCCAGGUUCCUAUGUCCGUUCAUAUAUACUACGAGUAUGAUACUGAUGGAUCAUCUGAUAUAAAAAUCUUCAUUCACUAAUGCAUAUGCGUUCAUUGUUAUUGCGAGGGAUACAAUUUUUGGAGAAGGGAUGGAGAUGGUGCCAUGGUGGAGGCUGCUGCCCAUCUAUGUGCUUGUCGAGUCAGACAUGCCCCUCUACAGGAAGUACCUCUCCCGGUACUACAUCAGCAAUCCUCCCGAAUCCAUCGAUGUGCAGCAGAUCGUGACGCCAUCCGCAUGGACGAACGAGAAUGGCCGCUUGAUUCCUCUUGCCCACUUGUGUCACGAGAUGGAGACCAAGCUCAUGGCUCAGUGCGGCCAGAGGCACAAUCAACAAUUGACUGACAUUGACUCACAGUGAGAUAGAACUAAGUAACAAAAUCAAGAUGCGUGUGUACGACAUCAUAGCUGGAAAGGCGAAUGUUUCGGUGUGUAUGCCGCUGCCACUGAUCUUAUGAAACGAUGCAUGGUUAAUCUGAAGUGUAUCGCCAAAGAGGCAGAGUUGAUGUGCGAGCAUAUGUGCAUGUGUACUUGUGUGUGUUAGCAGGCAGGAGCCCACCGCCGUGCCCGCCGGCGGCAUUGCCCAUGGCCGAGAAGACCGAGGACACCGAGGACCCAACGCCCUCAAGUACGAUGGCGUUGUACCGUCCUUUCUGCUGCGACUUAUGUUGACAAGUUUUGAGAUCGAUCUCAAUCUACAUAUGACCGUGAUCGGGAGGCGAACCCGGUUGCGCUUAGAGACAGUUGAAUAAUGGAGAUCCUCCAGCCACCGAGCUCCUCAAGGACACCUAAGGUGAGAAAUCCACGUUUUUUCAUACUGCUUGACGUUUAGGCCGAGCAGCCUGGUGAACUUCGACCCCAUCCAACCUCAUUUCGGCCACCACGUGGCUCCCCUCCCCACCUCACCCCGUCCAACGCAGUGCCUUCAUGCUAAGAGUUCAAGGGACUGUCCCCUCUCACCUAAGACAAGGUAUGUUGGUUAUGUGGGCAUUCGUAUGAAGUUAUGUGAGCAUGCGCUAGGUAUGAAAAGUUUUGUUUUAGUUGAUUGACAUUGAGGAUUAAAAACCUUAAAUGUGCCAUCAUGUUUUUAGGCGGUGUGCUCCAGGUUUGGCAAAUAUUAACUAACACUACAUGAACAUGAAGAUAAUCUUGGUGCCGGGCAAGCCUCACAUAGAGGUACAAUAUUCUUGGCAUAUCAAUAAUCCGAUUUAAUUAAUGUUGUUUGCCGAUGUUGCUACUCUGUCUAAGUCAUGAGAGAAUAUUUCUGGUCAUGGUAUAAUUGGAUGCAAUUUUGUAUGGAGGAAUCAAUAGUGAAGAAUUCUAUCAAGCAUUUAACACUGUUCUAUGUGAAUGUACACUGGAAGGUUAUAUAUGUUCUCACCAAUCUCUUUCUGUAUUAUUGUUUUUGUUGAUUGCCAAAAUGCUUUCCUGUAUUCAUGUGUUACCCAGUUGGCCGAUCAUUUUAUUCAACACAACUUGGUGCGGGCUUGGAAAACUGUAGUGCCUUUUACGAGACCAUACAAUGCACUCAAAUAGGAAUAUCACUAAAUAUCGGUUAGAUGCCAAUCAUGACCUUGAUUUCAAAUUUCAUCUUUGUGAAGAGAAGUUUCCUCUUCCAAUAAUUAUGGCCACUUUGUAACGCUUGUUUGCAUAAAGGGUUCCAGUUGGUCAAGUGUUUGGCCAUGUAAUUUUCAUUCUUUGCUUUAAUUGAGCAGAGAUGAAGGAAGAGUAGCAACAACAGUAAGAUUGAUGAAAUGAUACAUAUAUGUGACCAAUCAGACUUGAUUUUGGACUCUAGCAACUACCCUUCUAAGCAAGCAUGCUUGGCGUUUGAUGCAGAUUUUUUUCAUAUGUACAAUUACUCUAUUUGAAGGAAUACUGGGAUAUUAAAGAUAAGUUGACUAUAGGCUGGUUAGAGUUUAUUUUGCAACAGAGGAACAUGGCAAAUUAAACCAAGUAGCAGGAUAUAUUUUACUGUUUGCUUUAAUUCAUGGUGGAAAUUGCUUAUGAAUUAGUUGAGAUAUGCAAGGGCAUGCUUCCUGCAAUUUUAUUGGAUGGUACGGUGUUAGGCUCACAAUGUAUGUUAAUAUAAAUGGUCCUUUAUUCAGCAUACCUCUUUCUUCAUUUGGUUUGGCUUUCCUCUGCUGGUCAUGUAUUAGCAAUAAAAACCCAAGAAGUAGAAGAUUUGCCUUUCAAGUUCUCAUUGUUUGUUGUUCCUCCAUACUUAUUUGGUUGGGCUUGUUUGGAUUCUCCACAGUGUACACCAACAUGGGCGAUGUGCUCUUCACCAUGGCUUGGCGCUCGCUGCUGCCAUCCCUUGAAAGUGAUAUGACCUCCACGAGCACAAUAAAACCUCAAAACCCGUAGCAACGCACGGGCGUUCUACUAGUGGUUGUAAGAAUCCACCUGCACGUGGAAGAUGAUGAGAGGGUCUGACAGUGGAGCUGCUUGAGAUCCAGCCUAAUCAUAUAUUCGGUGCGGCAGUCCAGCUUGCCAUGCCUGCCUGCUGCCGUUCUGGGUUGGUGGUCCUGGUGAACAUUCCCCUGUUUCCAGCCACUUCAUUCACGGCCAUGGGACAUUUGGUAUGACAUCAUUUAUCGAGAAAUUUUUAGAGAAUGAGCCUUCUAUUAAUGUGAAGACUCAGAUGCUCUUUGGCCACCUAGAGUCACUCAAUCAUCUGGAUUGUUCUUCAUUAACAGGCCACUGGCAGAUCAACCAUUCCAGCCAUAUAGCAAUGACCUACAUAGUGUGCAUAGGUUUUUUGGCGCGGGACGGCAGCAAGUCUUUCUCUAUGGGAGCGGCUGUCCUCCGACUGUGUGAAAUCCCAACUGCAAAACAUGGCGUAAAAGCUGGAAAAGAAGACAAGGGAGCCGCCGCUACUGAUGUGGCCAGACCCAGGCUGAUUGAGUCGGGGGCAGGGCUAAUCUACUGGGGGGCUUUAACAGGCUCAAGUCCCCCUCCAGCACUGUAAAAUUUGUAUCUACUACUAAUUUUAAGGCCCAGCCCAGCUACUUGCAGGCCCAAUUCAACACAUAUUUGCAUGACCCAGGCAGCCCAGGCCCCCCUCCAUUUUUUUUCUAGCUGCGGUUAUGUAAUAUGUGUGUGGGAGCUCUGAUAGUUUCAGAUUUGUAUCUGUGCUGCUAGAGUCGCUGCAUUAGUUUACCUCUGUUUGUUUCAGUUUCUUUUGUUAUGUCCUACUAGUUUUAUUUAGUCCUUGCUGAGGUAGCGGUGGGGCUGUCCUCCGCGUGCUGAAUUGGUGUUUGUAAGACAAUUUGGUUUCUUUGCUAUGCAAUGGAACCGGAGCCCUGGUGCUCUUUUCCUCGAAAAAAAUGUAUAUUAAGUAGUAUCAGAACAC
Long non-coding RNA from Triticum aestivum (bread wheat), 3964 nucleotides. RefSeq lists it as uncharacterized. The record is from RefSeq and is a predicted model, not a curated record. Lineage: Eukaryota; Viridiplantae; Streptophyta; Magnoliopsida; Poales; Poaceae. The transcript is spliced from 7 exons.